UCCCGGCUAGCUCAGUUGGUAGAGCGUCAGACUCUUAACUUAUAAGAGUUUCUGCAGGCUUCUGCAGCAUUAUCUGAAUGUCGUGGGUUCGAGCCCCACGUUGGGAG
RNAcentral lists this transfer RNA (107 nucleotides) under Tilletia horrida. RNAcentral's name for it is "tRNA-Lys". It matches the Rfam family "tRNA". From Rfam's summary of the family: Transfer RNA (tRNA) molecules are approximately 80 nucleotides in length. Their secondary structure includes four short double-helical elements and three loops (D, anti-codon, and T loops). Further hydrogen bonds mediate the characteristic L-shaped molecular structure. tRNAs have two regions of fundamental functional importance: the anti-codon, which is responsible for specific mRNA codon recognition, and the 3' end, to which the tRNAs corresponding amino acid is attached (by aminoacyl-tRNA synthetases). tRNAs cope with the degeneracy of the genetic code in two manners: having more than one tRNA (with a specific anti-codon) for a particular amino acid; and 'wobble' base-pairing, i.e. permitting non-standard base-pairing at the 3rd anti-codon position. The record is from RNAcentral. Lineage: Eukaryota; Fungi; Basidiomycota; Exobasidiomycetes; Tilletiales; Tilletiaceae.